AAUGAACGUUGGCGGCGUGGAUUAGGCAUGCAAGUCGCGCGAUAUUCCCUCGCAAGGGGGAUGAAAGCGGCGAAAGGGAGAGUAAUACGUGGAUUACCUACCCUCAGGACCGGGAUAGCCGCGGGAAACUGCGGGUAAUACCGGAUAACAUCUCCGGAUCAAAGGUGCGAUUCCGCCUGAGGAGGGGUCCGCGUCCUAUUAGCUUGUUGGUGGGGUAAUGGCCUACCAAGGCAAUGAUGGGUACGGGGUGUGAGAGCAUGACCCCGCUCACUGGGACUGAGACACUGCCCAGACACCUACGGGUGGCUGCAGUCGAGGAUCUUCGGCAAUGGGCGCAAGCCUGACCGAGCGACGCCGCGUGCGGGAUGAAGGCCUUCGGGUUGUAAACCGCUGUCAGUGGGGAGGAAAUCCUGGGAGGUUCUCCUUUCAGGUUGACCUAUCCGCAGAGGAAGUACGGGCUAAGUUCGUGCCAGCAGCCGCGGUAAGACGAACCGUACGAACGUUAUUCGGAAUCACUGGGCUUAAAGGGUGCGUAGGCGGUCCGGUAAGUUGGGUGUGAAAUGCCUCGGCUCAACCGAGGAAUUGCGCUCAAUACUGUCGGACUCGAGGGAGACAGAGGUGAGCGGAACUUAGGGUGGAGCGGUGAAAUGCGUUGAUAUCCUAAGGAACACCGGUAGCGAAAGCGGCUCACUGGGUCUCUUCUGACGCUGAUGCACGAAAGCUAGGGGAGCGAACGGGAUUAGAUACCCCGGUAGUCCUAGCUGUAAACGAUGAGCACUUGGUUGGAGGGUCCUCCAUAGCCCUCCAGCCGGAGCGAAAGUGUUAAGUGCUCCGCCUGGGGAGUAUGGUCGCAAGGCUG
This 859-nucleotide ribosomal RNA is filed under the name uncultured bacterium. RNAcentral's name for it is "bacterial SSU rRNA". It matches the Rfam family "Bacterial small subunit ribosomal RNA", at positions 28 to 896 of the family's 1533-position model. The record is from RNAcentral.